CGCCGGCCGGGUCCCGGGGUACAAAGAAGCGCCGCGCAGAGCCGGGGUUCCUGGAGGUCUCCGGAGCCGCCCGGGGAGCGCCUCCCGCCCCGCUUCGGGACGCCGCCCCGGUCGUUUCCCGCGCGGCGACGGAGGCUUGCCGGCCUCCCGACCCGCUCGCCCCUGCAGUGGCUGCAGGGCCCGGAGGGCGGCGGUCCGUUGCGGGGUUUAAUUCUGGCGCUCGCUCGCGGGGGCCGGCUCCGCCCGCCCCGCCCCGCCCCCUCCUCCGAGGUCCGGGAGCCGCGGCCGGCCGGGCGCCGCAGGUUGGGGAGCGCGCCCGGAGAAUGAUUGUCUCAUGGCUGGCUGGACAGCCUGCUGAAUGGUUGAAUUGCCUUCAUCUUCGGACCACACAGGGGAGAUUGUCCCUGGAGCUAAAACACUGAUCACAGUCAUCUUGUGGCCUGACCUGAUUGAGGUUGAAUGCAUUUGGGAACUUGAUGCAUAAAAUUUGCAUGACUCCUCACUCCUUUCUGGAUCUGUCGUUGGAUUCCAGCCAGCAUGGCUCACACCACAAAGGUUAACGGCUGUGCAUCAGGAAAAGCAGAGGGUGUUCUGAAUGGAGAUCAUGACAAGGAACAGAAAGACCCUUAUUUUGUGGAGACCCCCUACGGUUAUCAGCUAGACUUAGACUUCCUCAAGUACGUGGAUGACAUACAGAAAGGAAACACCAUCAAGAAACUGAACAUCCAGAAGAGGCGGAAGCCAUCGGUGCCGUGCCCAGACGGCAGGGCGGCGCCCGGCCAGCAAGGUGUAUGGACUUCCACAGAAUCCCUGUCCUCCUCCAACAGUGAUGACAACAAGCAGUGCCCCCACUUCCUCCUCGCCAGAAGCCAAGUGACAUCGACGCCAAUCCCAAGGCCCCCUGCCCCUCUGGAGGCCUCGCCCACUUUUCUUACCAUCCCGGAGAGCCGAGAGCUGCCACCACCCUCACCACAGCUCCCGAAGCACAACCUUCAUGUCACCAAGACGCUGAUGGAGACCCGGAGAAGACUGGAACAGGAGAGAGUCGCCAUGCAGGUGGCACCGGGUGAGUUCCGACGGCCCAGGCUGGCCAGUUUUGGAGGCAUGGGCUCCACGAGCUCGCUCGCCUCCUUUAUGGGUUCUGGAAACCACAAUCCCGCCGUGCACCCACUUCAGAACGGGUACCAAGGCAACGGGGAUUACAGUGGCUAUGCCCCGGCUCCUGCCACCACUUCGUCCAUGGGGAGCUCCAUGCGCCACAGCCCCCUGAGCUCCGGGAUCUCCACUCCAGUGACCAACGUGAGCCCCAUGCACCUGCAGCACAUCCGCGAGCAGAUGGCUAUCGCCCUGAAACGCCUGAAGGAGCUCGAGGAGCAGGUGCGAACCAUCCCCGUGCUCCAGGUAAAGAUCUCAGUCUUGCAGGAGGAGAAAAGACAGUUGGCCUCGCAGCUGAAAAACCAGAGAGCCACAGCCCAGAACGACAUCGGGGGCAUGAGGAAGCGGUCCUACAGCGCUGGGAACGCAUCCCAGCUGGAAGAGCUCUCCGGGGCCCGGCGAGGCGGCGGGGAAUUGUACAUCGACUACGAGGAGGAGGAGAUGAGGAGCGUAGAGCAGAGCACGCAGAGCAUCAGGGAGUUCCGGCAGCUCGCAGCGGACAUGCGGGCCCUGGAGCAGAAGAUCCAGGACAGCAGCGGCGAGGCCUCCUCGGAGCUCCGGGAGAACGGGGAGUGCCGGUCCGUGGCCGUGGGUGCCAACGAGAACAUGGACCACGUGGUCGUGUACCGCAGGGGCCCCGGGGCCUGUAGGGACGCCGCUGUGGGGACCGUCACUGAGACGAGGAGCUCUGGGGUCGGCGUGACGGAGGCCAUGCUGGGACUGAUGACGGAAGCUGACAAAGAAAUCGAGCUGCAGCAGCAGACCAUAGAAGCCCUGAAGGAAAAGAUCUACCGCCUGGAAGUUCAACUGAAGGAAACCACGCAUGACCGCGAGAUGACCAAGCUCAAGCAAGAACUGCAGGCCGCUGGGUCGAGGAAGAAGGUGGACAAAGCCGUGACGGCCCAGCCGCCUGUCUGCAGCAAGAUGGUGGAGGCCGUGGUGCCCACGAGAGACCAGAUGGUGGGCCGCCACGUGGACGUGGCCGACACGGGCGUCGGGACCUCCGUGCACACGCGCAGCGUGGCGGUCUCCUGCCAGCCCGCGUGUGAGAGUAGAGCCGCGGGGCCUGAGCUGCCCCUGAACUGGUGGAUUGUCAAGGAACGGGUGGAGAUGCGUGACCAGUGUGCCGGGAGGUCCGUGGAGACGUGCGACAAGAGUGUGGGGGUGGAAAUCAGUAUCUGCGAAACAGGCAGCAACACGGAGGAGUCUGUGAACGACCUCUCGCUCCUCAAGACCAACCUGAAUCUCAAAGAAGUGCGAUCCAUCGGCUGCGGGGAUUGUUCUGUCGAUGUGACCGUCUGCCCCCCGAAGGAGCGCGCGUCGCGGAGCGUGAACACGGAGGCUGUUAGCCAGGUCGAGGCCGCUGUCAUGGCGGUGCCUCCGACCACCAGCCAGCACACCAGUAUGGCUUGGGGACAGGUGGACCAGUCCACCAACACCGAGACGGCCACCCUCGUGGACUCCAGCACCAGCACCUCCCUCAGCACUUUGGACAAGCAGACCAGCACCCAGGCUGUGGAGAUGCGGACCGUGGCCAUCGGGGAAGGCCGUGUGAAGGAUGUCAACUCCUCCGCCAAGAUGCGGUCCAUUGGCGUGGGAACGGUGCUGUCUGGCAGCUCUGGCUUUGACAGGCCUUCGGCUGUGAAGACCAAAGAGUCAGGCGUGGGGCAGAUAAAUAUUCACGACAACUAUCUGGUUGGUCUCAAAAUGAGGACCAUAGCUUGUGGUCCCCCGCAGCUGACUUUGGGGCUGGCAGCCAGCAGGAGGAGCGUAGGUGUUGGGGAUGAGCCCGUUGGAGAGUUCACGGAGAGCCCCCAGCCCCAGGCUCCUUCUGGCACGAUGACCGGCUUGGACCACUACAUCGAGCGCGUCCAGAAGUUACUGGCAGAGCAGCAGGCUCUGCUGGCUGAGAACUACAGUGAACUGGCAGAAGCUUUUGGGGAGCCACACUCACAGAUUGGCUCUCUGAACUCGCAGCUCAUUAGCACCCUGUCCUCAAUCAGCUCUGUCAUGAAGUCUGCAAGCACGGAGGAGCUGAGGAACCCUGACUUCCCCAAAAUGAGCCUGGGUAAAGUUACAGGCAGUGGUUUGGAAUACACCUGUAAGUGUGGAGGCCUUCAGGCAGGAGCUCCGUUCCACACCCAGACCGCCCCGCCUGAGCAAGCAGCGGGGACCGUGGAAGGGAGACCCCUCGGCGGCCAGGACGCCUUCCCCUCUCAGGAAGGCACGCUGUCCCCCGUGAACCUGACGGACGACCAGAUAGCCGCCGGCCUCUAUGUAUGUACAAACAAUGAAAGCACACUGAAGUCUAUCAUGAAGAAGAAAGACGGCAACAAAGAUUCAAAUGGAGCAAAGAAGAAUCUUCAGUUUGUCGGCAUUAACGGAGGGUAUGAAACAACUUCAAGUGAUGAUUCCAGCUCAGAUGAAAGCUCUUCCUCCGAGUCAGAUGACGAGUGUGAUGUCAUUGAGUACCCUCCCGAGGAAGAGGAGGAGGAAGAGGAGGAUGAAGACACUCGGGGAAUGGCGGAAGGGCACCAUGCCGUUAAUAUUGAAGGUUUCAAGUCUGCCAGGGUGGAAGAUGAGAUGCAGGUUCCAGAAUGUGAACCUGAGAAGGUGGAAAUCAGAGAGAGGUAUGAAUUAAGUGAAAAGAUGUUGUCUGCCUGCAACUUACUGAAAAAUAAUAUAAAUGACCCCAAAGCUUUGACCAGCAAGGAUAUGCGGUUCUGCCUGAACACCCUGCAGCACGAGUGGUUCCGCGUGUCCAGUCAGAAGUCAGCCAGCGCGGCCGCGGUGGGCGACUACCUGGCGGCGUUCGAGGCCGUCUCCCCGGAGGUCCUCCGCCACGUCAUCAACAUGGCGGACGGCAACGGCAACACGGCCCUCCACUACAGCGUGUCCCACUCCAACUUCGAGAUCGUGCAGCUGCUCCUGGACGCGGACGUGUGCAACGUGGAUCACCAGAACAAGGCGGGCUACACCCCCAUCAUGCUGGCAGCCCUGGCCGCCGUGGAAGCCGAGAAGGACAUGCGCGUCGUGGAAGAACUCUUCGGCAGCGGGGAUGUGAACGCCAAAGCCAGCCAGGCGGGUCAGACGGCCCUCAUGCUGGCCGUCAGCCACGGGCGAAUCGACAUGGUGAAGGGCCUGCUGGCCUGUGGGGCUGACGUCAACAUCCAAGACGACGAGGGCUCCACGGCGCUCAUGUGUGCCAGCGAGCACGGGCACGCAGAGAUCGUCAAGCUGCUGCUGGCCCAGCCGGGCUGCAACGGCCACCUGGAGGACAACGACGGCAGCACCGCGCUCUCGAUAGCCCUGGAGGCGGGACACAAGGACAUCGCGGUUCUUCUGUACGCCCACGUCAACUUCGCCAAGGCCCAGUCUCCGCUGUCUGCCCGGCCCUGUUGACUUACGGCCCUGGAAGCUGGGCUGAUGGACUGCACAGGCGGGGAGAGCCGGCCCGCUGGUCUUGCACUUGGCCGAGAGGAGAGCACGACUCUGUUCGCACAGCUCUGCUCGGUAUUCAGGUUGCCCGUCAGGCAUCGAAAAUUUAAGACCUUAUUAGGCAAGCAGCUCAUCAGACAGAGCCAGGCUGGCGGUCUUUCUGGAUGCUCACGCCAAGGCCUGAGAGACAGGGGCAUCUGUGAGGGCAGGCCCUGGGGGCCCACAGGACCAGGAACCAACUCGAGGGGUCUCCCCACCCAAAGGCACAUAAUCGUGCAUGUCCAUCGUUCUUGGGUCAGAGACUCAGUUGAGACGAGUCAAGAAGAGGGAGGGGAAAUUUAUAGGAGGGGAAACCCACCUAUAAAUUAAUCUCUGAGAGACAAGACUCCCUUUCAGGAAGUACACUGGCCGACACUGAUUGAUGGCAGACCUUGAAUGACCAGAGAACAUUCAUGAAGUUGCUCCCGAGGCCCCAUUCAAUCAUGGUCAGGGUAGAGCCGGAAGCUUGGUGUUGAUCUUGUAAGCCCUGCCGUGUUUUCUGGUCCGCAUAAUAUUUCAAAAGGUAGAACAGAGUACUUUUAUGUGUCUCUGUGUGUUAGGAGUUUGGGAACUCAGGCUCAGGAGGCCGAUAAACCUAUGACUGCCAGAGUGACAGACUUGGAUUCAUGAGUUCGUCCUGCCAGAUGCAUAUCUGUGCUUCUGAUUCACACUGAAAUUAGGGAAGCCAGACACUGCCACCCCUCUCCCGUGAGUCUAACGAAGGGGACCUCUCGGUGGUCUGUACACACGCUGAGCUCUGCAUGAAGGGGAGUUUUAUCCAGAUGUCAACAUCAAGAACAGCGACCGCUGCAAAGAGCCGGCCUGUCUGGAUAGAGAAGCCCCCUGCUCUCGGCAAUCCGUGGAAAUAUGGGGAGGCAUCUCUUUUCCGGGCUCUGCUUCAACCCCCUCCGUUGAUUUGAUGCCUAAUGAAGAAUGACUUUUCACUUCUUGCUGUGCUCAUUCUGUGGUUUCUACCAAGAUAUUGAACACAUCUGUAGAGCUGAAGGCCGGGGAAGGAUCUUCAGCUCGAGGUAGCACAAGCGAAGAUCAGUCUGCAGGGACCCAUUUUUCUUUGAAGGCGAAAGUUGCUGCUGAUAACUCUUCCAAGGGUGCGUCAUUCUCUGAUUUAUAAGUGGGCACGUGAGUGACCUUGCCCACAGUGAUGCUCUGUAACACACAGCCCGCAAAGCCUCUGCGGUAUCCAGCCGUGAGCAUUUAUUCCUCCCGGGGUUGGGGGGCCCACUAACCUCUGGCUCUGCUGCUGACCGUGGCCCAUCUCACGCUGGGCCGUCAGCUGAGGGAAGCUGGCUCCGUUCCCGUAGCUCACGGUUUCAGCUCUGUGACUCGUACCUUCCAGCUGCAUAGCCCAAGAAUGUUCUCAAGGCCGUGACAAAGAUGCAGGAGGAGCAAGUGGACCAGGCUUGUUCAGGCUUCGCUUCAGUGCUGGCACCCCAUCAUUCCACACGACAUGCUCUUGGCCCCAGCAAGUCCAAGACCAGCCCAGAUUCAAGGAGAUCGGGAAACAGGUCGGGCCUCUUCAGUGAGAAGAACAAGUCAGGAUGUUUGGCUUCAAACAGAGUAAAGGAUGUGGAGCCAGAAAAUGCAAUAAAUACUUCACAGUGAGAUCCUUCCCCUUAGUGGUUCUGGCCAGGGUUUUGGGUGUUGCUCAACAGACCUACUUCUAUUACCCUCCUUGAAUACCUGUGGGAAAGGGUGGAGACAGUAAAUCUGGUCCCUCCUUGAGGCUAACUGAUGCUUGCGGAGCUCUUCCACAGUGGACACCUCAUGGAAAUUUUCAGCCAAACCAUCAUCACUGCAAGGAGCAUCACCCUGGGGGAGCCCCUGACUAGACUCCCCUGCCACAGAGCGGCCAGGGACUGUGACAACGUGCAGCAGUGGGCAGGAAGUGGGGUGGCCACCCGGAAGCAGCUGGAAGGGAGGACUUGUCCUAAGCGUCUUAGGAGCUGGUUUCGAAUGCUGUGUUUGAGGGACAUCAGCCAGGGUGAGACAUGACAGAGGAAGACCCUUCAUUGCUCCAGGCUGUCCUCAUCCAGGCACCCACACCGGGAACCAUGUCCACAGCCUUUGGCUUCCUGCUGACAGAGUCCAAGAGGGGACUGGCAUGAGUCACGUUAGAGCCCCUUCGGCUCCCAGCUAGAAGCAGGAUUCUCACCACAGGCCCUGGCUACCUCCCGUGGCCAACAGGCAGGGCUCCGUAAUCUCGUCUGAAGUCUUGUCCAUGGACUUGUUCCGAGGCAGUCUUACCAAGUGAGUCGGGCACGGUGUCGGGGCAGUUACCUGCCCUUCGGGAGCUGGUCCCAGCCUAACGUCCCCCACGGAGCUGGGAUCUUGGUUGUGCUGGCUGAGGGGCUGUGCGUGCUGAGGUUGGGGGCGGGCAGCCGGCAGAGACAAGAGCUUUCCCACUUGCUAAUGGAGUGAAGGGAACUCCUGGGGGGCCCAGUCUGUGAAGCAUCUGACAACUCUUGAUUUUGGUUCAGGUUAUGAUCUCAGGGUUGCGAGAUGGAGCCCCAUGUUGGGCUCCUUGUGCAGCAGGGGGUCUGCUUGGGAUUCUCCCUCGCCCUCUGCCUCUCCCCCUGCUUGUGUACUUUCUCUCUCAGAUAAAUAAAUAAAUCUUUUAAAAAGAAGAAGAAAGAAGGGAACUCUUCACUGCCUAGGGACAGCAUAACCGUCUGGCUGCUCUGUGAGAAGCCAUCUGCCGAAUAGCCUCAAAAUACAGAGGCAUGUGUUCCCGGGCUCCACCGUAAAGGUCCAGCCGACGGCAUCGUCACUUUGGUCAAGCACGAGAAACACCUUUGUAGGAUUGUGGGCGGAGCUCACUGGAAGACAAGGAGACCUGUGUAACUCUCAGACCCCAGCCUCGCAGACGAAGGCUGGAAGAGCCGGCGGCCGCACGCUGAGGGGGAUGGAUGCCUUCUUAUAGUUGUCUUCAGAUGCCGUGGGUCCCAGGAUCUGCAGGGCCGGGCCCUGCCACCCUCAUUCCCUUCCAGGGAUGCCACUUUCCCCACAACCCAGAUGGCGAGCAGAAGCACUUGUCGGGAAGAAGGUGCUGGGUCCCAAGUCCGGAGUCCACAGGCUGUUCACCAUGAGCCACAGGGUGGGCGGUCACGCAUCUAAAGGGCAGUCAUGUGAACAGGGAGAAGAGGAGUUCUUUCCUGAUCCAGGAGGAAGGGGGUGGAACACUGAGCCAAAAACCCAACCCCCAGCACACAACGCAUUUAUUUUUUUUAUUUUUUUUAAAGAUUUUAUUUAUUUAUUUGACAGAGGCACAGCGAGAGAGGGAACACAAGCAGGGGGAGUGGGAGAGGGAGAAGCAGGCUUCCCGCGGAGCAGGGAGCCCGAUGCGGGGCUCGAUCCCAGGACCCUGGGAUCACGACCCGAGCCGAAGGCAGACGCCCAACGACUGAACCACCCAUGUGCCCGCACACAAUGCAUUUAAAUGACACCCCUCCGCCCCCCAGGAAAGGGUGAACUAGGAAAAGCUCGUUCAGCUAAAGCAACUGAAGUCGGAAUGGGCUCCACCAGUGUUAAGGGACGUGAGAGCCUGCAUGGGCAUCCUGAGGUCCCACUGGUGCUGAGACUGCGGCUUUCCUCCAAGCCACCAACCCGGUCACUCACUCUGUUCCCUGCGCAGCCUGACCUAUCAGCCCCGCCCCUCCCCAGCGGCCAGUGGUGGACACACCCCUGCAUGAACCAGUCUCCUACUGACCAUCAGUGUUACUACAAGCAUUUUUUAAUAAUCCAUUAAAUCUGGAAUUUCAGAUUGUACCACGUAUAGUAAUGGUUAGUAAUAGUUAAUGAAACUGCAUUCACAUGCCCACGCACGCACGUGCUGCGUCACAAGGUAAGAUGUCCUGGUGACGGUGGGCAGAGCAGAAGUCUAGGUACAGGACACGAUGCAGCCAAGCCCAGCGGUAGUUGUAGUUCCUCAUAAGGGAUGCAGGGAGGAAUCUUCUUGAGCAUCUAUUGUGACUCCUUCUGAGUCAAGGACUAAGGGUGGGGGUAGGGCUGCACAAAGUGGAGAGGAUCAGCCCCUCCCCAUUGAGGGGAUAACCAUUGCGUUGACUAGCAGCCACACCCAAGUAAAGAAAAACACGUUAGGGUGCAGCGGGCCCCUGAGAUAGGAUGGCGGGUGGAGCCCAGGGGAGGUAGGAGAGCUCCUGGGAAGAUUCAUCCAGACUUGUGUCCUGAAGGAAGCAAAGAGCAGGACAGUGCCCGAAAGAAAGGGAGUUUACCUCCUAGCAGGCUGGCGCUGGAAAGGGCUUUCGGGCAAAUGUCACCAUCUCAUUUUCCCCCUGGUAACCCACAUUUAUGGUUUCAUGGACUAUAAAAGUUCAAAGUUUAUAGCAAGUCCCUUUCUCUUUCAAAGCUUGCCUCUCCCUUUCUUAUUUUGACUUCUUAUGUGUGAUUUUUUUUUUCGUUGUGGUAAAAUACGCAUAACAUGCAGUUUGCCAUUUUAAUUUUAAUAAAUGUAUGAUUCAGUGGCAUUCAGUACAUUUGCACUGAUGAAUAACCACCGGAACCAUCCGUCUCCGAAACUCAUCACCCAAAGCAGAAGCUUACCAUCGAGCAGUAACGACCCACUUCCCACUCCCACUCGCCUCUGGUAUGCUCCGUUCCACUUUCUGUUUGUGCGAAUUUGCCUGAAAUAAGUGUAUUUCACUUGGCAUAACAUCUUCAAGAUUCAACCAUGUUGUAGUGAGUGUCAGGCCUCCAUCCCUUUUCAUGGCAGGAUAAUAGCACAUUGUAUGUAUAUGCCAUGUUUUGUUUAUCCAUUAUCCUUGGAUGGUCACUUGGGUUGUUAUCACCACCCCACAAUGAAGGAACUGGGGCACGUGGGUGGCUCAGUCGGUUAGGCAUCCAACUCUUGGUUUCGGCUCAGGUCAUGAUCUCAGGGUCGUGAGAUCAAGCCCCGUGUCAGGCUUUGCACUCGGCCCAGGGUCUGCUUGGGAUUCUCUCUCUCCCUCUGCCCUUCCUCCUGCUCACACUCUCUAAAUCAAUCAAUCAAUCAAUCAGUCUUUUUUAAAAAAUCAUAACAUGAAGGAACUGAAGCUCUGAGUGGCUCAGAGUUACCCAACUACUUAAUGGGAAGCCUGAUUAGAGAGUGCAUGUCUCUUGCAUCCUAGGCCAAGAUUGCUACUACUCCAGGCCAGCAGCCCAACACCCCUUUAUUUCACAUUCUGCUCUGGUUUCAAAUAGUGAAAGAUAACAAUCCUUUAUAUAGCACCUAACUAUGUACCAGGCACUGUUCUCAGUGCUUUAUGCGUGUUAAUUCAUUUUCUCCUCACCAUAAACCUGUAAGGUAAAUGCCCACCGUUACUUUCCCCUUUUGGCAGAGAAGGAAACAGAAGCAGGGAGGUUAGGUAACUUGCCCAACAUCACAUAGCUAUUAAGUGACAGAGCUGGACCAAGAACCCAGUUCCAGAAUCCCUGCGCUUACUCCAAUACAUUGCCCCUCUUGUAGGGAGAAAAGAAUUCUUCACCAAAGCAAUACAUCCAGUGGGAUUAUAUUUCAGUGUUAGAGACUCAAAUUCUGGAGACAAAAUCAACCAAGCUGCCCUUUCUCUGAGAUUAACUCGGGAAGACAAAUUUAUUCCAGGGAAAAGAUUGCAAGCUGAGUUACACCUGCCUUUUUUCAGCAAAUGUCUACGGCCUCAAACUCUGCCUGGGUCUCAUGGGACAGUCUGUCCCCCUAGCCAGAUGAUUUAGGAGCUACAGGGUGAACGUAAAUCCUUCAGGCCCAAAAUUGGUCCCCUAAAAUAUCCUAGAUUCUGCUCAGUUAAAGACACAGAAGUGUGAUUCCAGGAAUACCCUUGCUACUGCAAAUACAAUUACUCGGUUUUCCAUGUGCCUCUGAGUGUCACGAUCCCGCCUACCACAGCCACUGCAGUUAGGGCUGGGCCAGGAGUCUGCAGACCCCAGAAGAGUCACACAAGCACCCAACCACCCUGCCCCAGUUCUAUUUAGGUCAUGUGGCCUGUCAACUAGGAGGACAGAACUUUCUAGAACAAAAAGCUAAAGCACAGCUGCUUUCUCCAAGUCUGUUCUACUUGGGAAAGCAAGUGCUGAGGAUAUCACUCCCACCCUAAGGAGGGAGCAUACAGGAGGCAGGCCCGCUGUCUCCAGCAAAACAAGCAAGGAUGCUUAUUUACGGGCCCUGCCGAGAAAGUGUAUUAUUAGAAGGGCUGAGCCCCGGGGGGCUCUGUGUCCUUGCCGUGUGGCUGGCUGAGUUCUCCAGGUCGUGGGUGGUUUCAGCCAGUAAGUCUAAGGACUUUGGCUGAUCGGUCAACAAGAACAGAGCUUAUUUACCUGCCACAGAACAUCGGGCUGUCGCUUUGAUAAGACUCCUUCAAGGUGCCCUUGGAAAGCAACCAGUUUGCUGGCUUCUACCCUUUCCUCUGAGGUGCAGACUGCUAAGACAGCAAGAGAGCGCACACAUGAACACUGCUGUUUUAUGUGUCUAGCCAUGAUGAAUUUUUUCUCUUCAACCUCACCCACCCGCUGGUGGUGGCCCACGGCUCCUACGUGAGCAGUAAGAAGCCACAGAAAUCCGGAUGAUGCAGUCACAGAUGGAGCCCUGCAGUUCCAGAACUAUUCUCUGGCACUCCGUAAAUAAUGCUGGCGAUACCCCCCUUCUUACCCAGAAGUCUUCUCAGAGGGGUCCCCUUGAGUUCUCAGGACCCUGUCCAGAGCUAGGGCAAGAAAGAACCCAUGGAAGGUGGAAAUCCAUGCAGGCUACACAGCAUCCUGCUGGGGCCGUGAAGACCCCAGAGGAGCCACGCAAGCACCCCACCAGUUACAUUCAGAUCAUGUGACUUGACCAGGAAGGGAGAAACUUCUGGAAGGAAUGCCAAAGAGACUCCAUAGCUGCUCUACUCCAAGCCUCUUACACCCAGAAAAGCAAGUGACGAGCAACCACACGAGGUCAUGCUCAUCAAGGCAUUCUGUAGACGUGUCCAAGCGCUCCAGGAGGGCCAACUCUUUCGCUGGGGGUGAGGGCGUUUUUCCUUGAGGUUGGGCUGCUUUUCAUUCCAAGUUCCAGUGACCGGCAUUCCUCCCCAGGGCACCAGGUGCUCGCACGGAGACAGUGUCUUCCCAGUCACCCCAUGAGCGCAGACGACAGCUGGGCUGGUGGCUAAUCGUUUAAACCGCAGAUGUCCCUGUUCGAACUGGAUCGUCCCCUGUGGCGCUGGACCCCGGCAGGCUGUUCUUUGGGUGACGAAAAGAAAAGCCCACUGGGCAGCAAGAAGACUUCUCAGAGGAGCCUGAAGGCUGCAUGUGGGGCGUGCGGAGGACGGGGUCCUCACGCACUCCUGUGUGCCUCUCAGUGUGCGACAGACAGAUUCCAGCCUACCCCGGGCCGCGCUGCCGUGUUCUAGGCUCGCUCCCCAUUCCCCUGUAUGCUAUCGGCCCAUGCCGGCCCAUUCCCUCCUGUGGCCUGAUGCUGUAUGGAGCACUUCCGGGCAUCCCCUCAUCGAGUCCCAUGAGCUGGGUUGUCACCAAGCUCCCUGUGUUCCACCUCCUUAGCAGCUUCUGUGUCUGUCCCCUUCUUGCUCCUUGGGUUCUUUCAUUUCUGGGCCUGAAACACUGGUCUCUUUGCCAAGCAAAUGCAGAAAAGCAUGGCCCCAACCAGGAUUAUAAGGGGUGGCCUUAUGCAUACCAGUGGAUCUAUCAGUGGACAAUCAGAAGAGACCAGAACAAUGCACUCCUAUUAUGGCUAUUCAUCUGGAGGGAAGGCGAUCAAUAUAGACACUAAUCCAGUUUAAUAAGGGAAACAGGCCUCCCUUACUGGUUCUGUUCCAGGGCACGAAGGGAGUUCACUGUCACUGCGUCCUUGCUUCUGUUCUCCGGCUGACCGCUGCAGUCCCCCUCAGUGCUCUUAGACGAGACACUUGGCACCUGCUCUUCUGAGAGUUUCUUGUCACUCGUGAAGCUUCCGUGACCAGUAACGAUGGUACACAGAGGAGAACGCCUCACACCUCCUUGUGGCUAACGUGGGCGAGUCUUCAUCUUUGGAAGCAUGUUCUACCCUACUUUGGAAAAAAGCAAAAGUCUUUCCUCUUGCAGGCCACUGGACGUACCGUACUUCAUAUCAAGUAAGGUGAGGCCCCAGAGAGGGCUUCCUGGACCAGCUAAACUAGGUCUGGCCCUUGCCUUGGCUUCACUUACUCUGUGGGCAAUAGGGAGCACUGGACUUUUUUUGCCUGCAGUCGUAGAAACACCUGAUUUCAAGUCUCAGUACUCACGUUCUGAAACACUGUAAGACUAAAAUGAAACACCACCUUAGUAGACUUCUUUCCCAUAAAACGAAAUUAUAUACUCUUUCCGUUCCAUAAUUAGAGGAAAGAUACUCUUCCCUCUAGUAAAAAUAAGGAAAAGAGAAUUUAAAGAGGUCCAUUAUUUUUUUCAAAAAUUAUGUGGGAAUUAAGGGGGGCCUGGGGUGGCUCACUCAGGUAGGCAUCAGACUCUUGAUUUUGGCUCAGGUCAUGAUCUCAGGGUCGUGAGAUUGACCACUGCGUGGAGCCUACUUAAGAUUCUCUCUUUCCUUCUCCCUCUGCUCCCACCCCCUUGCCACCUGCUUGCACACACAAGCGCUCGUUCUUUCUAAAAAAAAAAAAGUGGGAAUUUAAAUACCACUUAAUAAAUUAUUGCACUGUGUCAUCUAAACAACCAUACUAAAAAGAAAAAUUUAAGUGAACCUUUGCCAAUUACAGUGCUGAUACCUGUCACUACUUUUUUUUUCUCUCUAUAUUUGUUUUUCCUUCUACAAUUCUCCCUCUAUUUAUUGUAGCAAAUUAUGACACACUUAUAGUUUGGGUAUGUAUUGAAUAGUUGUACACAUCCUUCUCUCAACGUCAAGAAGGCAGGAAUCUAGAAGCCGGAACCGUACCCAGCGCGGGCUAGGGAAGCCGUGCGCCCUACGGUUCUCUGCCACCUGGUGUCUACAUCUGGGUACUGCACUGUCCUCAGUCGGGUCCGACAAGGGUGUUCUCCCUCUUCACCGUCCCCGGGAGGCCAAACGCAGACCGAGCCCACUCCUGUGGGAUGAGAGAAAAAGUACCAGGAACUCUGGCAUCAGACCUAACUUAGACUCCUUCGUUCCCCCUUUACACCUGAGCCUGUGAGCAAGUUAGCUUCCCUUUUGGAGACUUCAUUUCUACACCUGUAGCCUGCAGGUGAUAAUGCCCGCCUUCAGAGUCGUGGCCAUAGAAGUUCUAGAAAGCCGCAUGGGUUGACGUUGCUGUGAAGAUUAAAUGAAUGGUGUAAAGUGCCCGCCAGCCAUCCAACAAUGAAUGCUUCCUGAACAAAUGAGAGCGUGAGUAGGACAGCAGACGGAAGGAACCUGGGAGGAAGGUCGGUCCGUCAGUCCAGCUGACGUCCCCUCUUCUGAGGGACCCAGGGAGACGAGGGGCAGGCAGGAAUGCUGGUGACUGAGGGUGAGGCUCUUUCCGACAGUGGCACUUGGAGUCCCGCUUCCAAAUCCCUAAGGCUAAGAAACCGAGUGGCCUAGCUGGGUUUGGGCCCAUCCCCGGUCCAGACAUGUGGCCAGGGGUCCGCUGUGAUCGUUAAGGGAGACCAGGAAGGGGUUGGUCCUCGUGAACUGGAUUGGCAUUCUGGGGGGUGUUCACUGCACCACAAGAGAGUCUGAACCAGGCAGCGGAGACAACAGGAUGCGGGUGGGAAGAGCCCUUCCGAUACUGAGUUAGGUCUUACAGGGGAACAGCUGUGAUAGGUAAGAAAGCCUACGCUGAAGUUGCUGCUAGACCCUAAAUCAUGAACUUCUAGAAAGCCAGAUGGGUAUGGAUUGAUUUAUCUCAUCCAUCUGCUACUAAAGAAUCAACGGAUGCAAGUAUCACUUUUAUUCCCCUUCAAAUAUACAAAAAUGGAAACCCAGAGAAAUUAGAUUUUGUGUUUGAUGUUACAAAAGUAAUGGGCUCUAAACUGGAACCUGAGUUCUCCACGUUCUGCUGAGCUUUUCUUCCAGUACAACACGACAGCUCCAGGUAAAGGGCAGCCUCCAGAAGAAACUGUCGGAUUUUUUUUUUUUUUUAAGAUUUUAUUUCUUUAUUUAAGAGAGAGAGGGAACACAAGAAAAGGGAGCGGCAGGCAGAGGGAGAAGCAGGCUCCCCGCUGAGCAAGGAGCCCCACGUGGGGCUUGAUCCCAGGAUCCUGGGAUUACGACCUGAGCCGAAGGCAGACGCUUAACGACUGAGCCACCUAGGCACCCCAUCUGUCGAGUAUUUUGAGAAGAGCAACCCCCAGGAAGUUCCAAUGAGCUGGACAGGAGGCAUCAUCUUCCAGAUGUGGUCCAUGGGUAGUUAGUAUGUUUUUCCAUUACCUUUAAUCCUCGAUGACCUCCUACCUAUUUGAAAUAAAGGUUCAGGGGUCUUUCUGGAAACACAUAUACACACACACACAAACUCCCAAAACAAAAAACAUUGGUCUUAUUCUUUAUAUUAGCUUCACUAAACAGAUUUCAGCUUUAGGAAACAUAAUCAGAGCAGAGCCUAAUUUAAGAAAUUCUUUUUACUAAGAAAUCAAUACCUUUUAGGUUGUUUAUAAAUAAUCUUCUUCUCUACUGUUUUUCAGUUGUUGAAAAUGAAUACAGUGUUUUAAAAAUGGCACAUUAAGACAGAAGCUACAGGUGUACUGUAAAUUAUUAUUAGGAAACAAGUGUGGCAGACAGACCAUCUCCUGAUGGUCACGCCUUUGCGAUGCCCCUCCCCUCGAGCAGGGGUGGGACCUGUGACUUGCUUCUGCCCACACGGGAUGGCAAAGGCGAUAGAAUGUCAUGUCUAUGAUCACAUCACAUAAGGUUGUAAUACCUGUCUUGCAAGGAGACUCUUCCUUGUAGGAAGUAAGUGGUCAUUGUUGGCAAGACUCACAUGGCAAGGAGCCGAGGGUGCCCUCUGGCCAACAACUUCCAAGAAAAUGAGGCCCUCCAUCGGACAACCCGCAAGAAACGGAAAGCUCCUAACAGUGAUGUGAGCAGGGAAGUAUAUUCUUUCCCACUCUGGCCGCAGAUGAGACCACAGCCCCAGUGAUCAUGUUGAUUACAGCUUUGCAGCAGAUGCGGCUAAGCUGGACCUGGACUCCUGACCUACGGAAACUGUGGCAUAAUGAAUACGUGUUGCUUUGAGCCACUGAGUUUGUGGUGACAUGACUGUACAGCAAUAGGGUGACCUACUACAACUAGACCAUAUAAAGAAGAAAAAAUGUUCAUUCUCACUACCCGGAGAUUACCAUUGCUCACAGUUUGUAGAUAGUUUCCUGAGUACAAUUAAUACAUCAUCACGGAAAAAUCAUGAUUAAACAGAAGCAAUAGGUCAGAGAAGGAAAGUCCCUCUCUCUCCCCUGGGAAAAUCACUGUUAACAAUUUUACCUGUUUCCAUCUCUCUCUCUCUCAAUAUUCAUAGAACUAUAUAUUUAGAUAUAGUAAAACUGUACAUACGUAGCGUACAUAUAUAGAAAACACACAUGUAGAAAAACACUUUACAUACUUUUAAAAAGAAAUACACAUGCAUAGUUUCUUUAGAAAAAUAAACAGACUGGCAUCUUUUAUACUUUCCUGUACCAGUUGCUCAAGUCAAAAAACUAGGAGUCUUUUUCGCACUUCUCUUUGCCUUACCCCCACCUCCAGUCUCCAGUAAAUGCCAUUGUCUCCAUCUUAAAAUAUAACCCAAGUGGGCCGGGUUACUCGUCACUUUGAGCACUGUUUGCAGAGAGUCCGAGGCAGCCUGAGCCGGAUCACGUCUCUCCCACUUGGAGCCUACCGAUGGCUCUCACCGCCUGCAGAAUAAAAAUGACAGCCCUCCUUUCCUACCACACCAUCCCCCCGCCCCUGCUCCGUACCUUAAGAAUGGUCAAAAGAAGCAGCGAAGUUCGGAAUGAAUGAAUGGUGAGAUUAGAGGAUAUAAAGGGAAAAAGAAGGGGGGGGGUAGGGAAACUUAUUUAAAAAUAAAAAAUGUUCCAACAGGUCAUGUUUUCUAGUCCCCUAACCCUGACCCCAUACCACCCCAUACCACCAUCCGCCCUGUGGUUGGGAGGUGGCGUGCAUGCUCUGGAGAUUCUGAAGGCAGGGGCAUGCAAAGGGAAAACUGCUGGAUGAAGACUGUCUUCAGCAAGCUUAUCCAGCCACCCUUGCUUCAUUCACACUAGUCCUGAUGUGUCGUUACCACCCCCAGAGGAUUUGAACCCCCUUCAGAAGAGGUGAUUCAAACCCAAAGAGAAUUUUUUUUAUCAGGAAGGUCAAGCCCACGGUGUGGACAUUCUCACCGUCUGAGGGUAGAAUGUCUUGGGGAAGACUGUGAGUCGCGGUUGCCUGGAUUACAAGCCAUGGAAGGCUUUCCCCAGCCCAAAAUGUGAGAUGCAACCUCCUGAUGUUGGCCAAUGGCCCUCAACCCAUCUUUCCUGCUAGAAAUGUCAUGUCUAUGAUCACCCAUCUUUCCUGCUCACUGCCCCCUCGGCUGCCACUGCUCUCCUCCCGGCCUCUUCUCGGGCAGCCCUGUGUCCCCCUUGUGCAUGCCUAAGUCCCCCAACCUAAUGUUCCCCCAAACCAUUCACAUCUUAACCUACAUACUCACCAGUCAACUUCCAACUGGACCCCUCUGUCCCGGAGCGCUUUCUGUUCCAGCAGCUAGUUUUGGCCUAUUGUGCCUGAGCAAGUGUCUGUGAGUAUAGUACUGAACCUCACAGAGCAACAAAGAGGGCAUCGGGCUGGAUGUUCAAAUGCAACUUUGAGGGCGCCUGGGUGGCUCAGUCGGUAAGCGUCUGCCUUCGGCUCGGGUCGUGAUCCCAGGGUCCUGGGAUCGAGCCCCGCAUCGGGCUCCCUGCUCCGCGGGAAGCCUGCUUCUCCCUCUCCCACUCCCCCUGCUGGUGUUCCCUCUCUUGCUGUGUCUCUCUCUGUCAAAUAAAUAAAUUUAAAAAAAAAAUGCAACUUUGACAGUGACGCUAGGUAUCGUCGCGGGUGGAGUUGAGAAAGCAGAGGAAAGAGAUCCACGGGCCAUGGCAGGGAUGACUUUGACGUUAUUGAGAACACUAGAAAGGGCCCCUGCAGCCCAGGAAUACUGGCCAAUAAGGAGAGGGCGAGCAGGUGGCCACAGUCAUGAGCAGAAGCUUCUCGGGUCUUGGAGCAUGGGUGGUCAAAGCCCCACCAGGGUGCUCUGCGGAGCUUGCAUCUGCUUGGGGACAAGGCUGCAUGGACCGCUUACAGGCUGGUUUAAGUAGCACUCCUGUAUCCAGGAGCGUCCUUCGUGAGAAACAGUUGCACGUGGGUAAUACUGUCAUUUCUCUUGUUACCUGAAUCUCUUCUAGAUUUGCACACUAUGAACACGGUGAGCAACUGAAUUCUGAAAUACCCAGAUCAGACACCUUGCUCUGGGUACAGUAGAUUCUUCAGGGUAGUUUAGUUUAAAUGCUUUCUCUUACCCACCCAUAGUAACUCCCAUGGCUUCUUGGACUAGAGUUACUGUCACAACAUGGUAUCUACAUUAUUGUUUCCUCUCUGUCUUCUUCACGGGUCCGACGGGGUAGGACCAUGGGCCCGGCAGGGUCUCAGCGGGAAAUAGCUACCACUGCCAGAUUGGGAACCCCCACUUCCUAAGGGACAAUUCCCCACGAUAAAGUCCGGUAGAGUGGAAAGCACGGAGGAUGCUGUGGUACCCAGAGUCAGCAAAGCCAGAAUGGAGAGUCCUAUUGAAAAGGGCCUCCUUCACCGGAGGGACGGGAGCAGCCUGAGACAAGCAUGCGGCGCCAGGAAAGGACAAUCCAGGGGAAUCAAGACUCCAGCCUCGCUCCUGAACCACCCUUGGUGCUCCCUGUUGGCUGACCCGACACCAGGGGCGCCAGGAGGCCAGGGAGGGGGGCCACAGGAUCCCCCUUCUGGGCAGAGAGCAGGGUGGAGAUGUGGAGCGUGGAUCCGGCCGGGCGAAGGGAGCUAUCCAGCACCGAGUGUGUCCUACUUGAUAUUUAUGUCCCUCGGGCCCAGAACAACCCUCAUUUAAGAUUUACAUCCCUGGUGCCCAGGAAAAUCCUUGAUAGUAGGGGAGAGAUUGUAGUUAUAUGUCAACCAUAUUGCCAGGCACUAGAGAUAAAAACAUAAACAUUAAUAAUCAUUUGGCUGGAAGGAGAGCAUGAAGGAUCAAGUAGAGAGGAGGAAGGAGGAACACUUGGCUGAGGGUACACGUCUGCGGGGCUGCAAACCUCCUCUCUAGGGACCAAGUCAGCUGCCCCCAAGGUAAGGGUCUAUUUGAGGAUCUCGGGAAGAAUAUUUAGCCCAGCCUUCUUUUAAAAAAGAGCAAUGCAAGUGCAAUCCGUCUUCGACUACCCAUGGGUAUGAAGCUAAAGUGAGUUGUGCCAGGUCCUGCACAGGAUAGGAUCAGUUACGCUACACAAACAAAAACAUCAACAUUGUAGUGGCCCCUUCUGGGUAUAUACUCAAAAGAACUGAAAGCGGAGUUCGAAGAGAUAUUUGUACAGUCACAUGCCUGGCAGCCUUAUUCUCCACGGCCACAGGAAGAAACGACCCCCGUGUCUAUCGAUGGAUGAAUGGAUAAACAAAUGUAGUAUAUACCUGCAAUGGAAUCACAUUCAGCCUUACAAAGAAGGAAAAUUCUGGGGCACCUGGGUGGCUCAGUCAGUUAAGCGUCUGCCUUCGGCUCAGGUCACGAUGCCGGGGUCCUGGGAUCGAGGCCCACGUCGGGCUCCCUGCUCAGCGGGAAGCCUGCUUCUCCCUCUCCCUCUGCCCUUCCCCCCACUCAUGUUCUCUCCCUCUCUCUCAAAUAAAUAAUCUUAAAAAAAGAAAGAAAGAAAGAAAAUUCUGUCACCUGCCACAACACAGAUUGAACCUUGAGGACAUUAUACUAAGUAAAAUAAGCCAGUCACAAAAAGACAAAUACUGCAUGAUUCUGCUUAUAUGAGGAACCUAGAAUAGUCCAGUUCCUAGAUGCAUGAGGUACGAUGGAGGUUUCCAGGAGCUGGGGGAGAGCAGGGGCUGGGAUAUCUUGUUUAAUGGGUGCAGAUUUUUAGUUUUUACAAGACAAAAAGGGUUUCGGAGACCGGUUGCACAACAAUGUGAAUGUACUUAACUCUCUCGAACUGUACACUUAAAAAUGAUUAAGAUAAUACAUUUGAUGUUAUAUGAAUUUUACCACCAUUUUUAAAGAUUUCUUAAUCAAAAAAUAAAUACAGUGUCUUUUUUUUUAAGAUUUUAUUUAUUUGAGAGAGAGAAUGAGAGAGAGAGAGAGCACGAGAGGGGGAGGGUCAGAGGGAGAAACAGAACCCCCGCUGAGCAGGGAGCCUGACGCGGGACUCGAUCCAGGGACUCUAGGAUCAUGACCUGAGCCGAAGGCAGUCGCCCAACCAACUGAGCCACCCAGGCGCCCCUAAAUACAGUGUCUUAACCCACAACAGUUCAUCUCUCACCCCACUAUAUUUUCACCAAGGGUCAGCCAGCGUCUCUGUCCCAUGUUAUUAUUGACCUCCCUCUGGACCCAGCCAAUGGGGUAACCACCUUCUGGAAUGCUGCUGGUUUCCACGGCUGAGGAGAGAGACUAAGGGUGAGUCUUUCCCACCCGAACCUGAUAAGCAGAGACAUGGGGGCAAGAAAGGCACUAAGAGGUAUGCAGAUCUAAGACGGAUGUCUGGAAAAAAACCAUAGGGAUGGCUACUGCCCCAAGAAGCUGACCAGACUCGAACAGAUAAGAAGUGGACUGUGUUUAGUUGGUUUUUGUUUUUGUUUUUUUUUAAACCACCAGCCUGGCCUAAAAGUGUCUGUGACUGCUCGAGAUUUUAAGUGACCUUUGGUCCCCUCAGCGACCUUUAGGCAGCAAGCAGGCCGAGGAAGCCGUCCCUCCCCCAAGGAUAUCCUCUACUAGUGCCCUAUUCAAAUGACACUUAGGAGAGUGAUCGACGAGCAAAGCAGAGCCACAGCCAUGGACGGCACAGACAGGGAACUGCCUCCAGGGAGCUGAAUCAGGGCCCGUUCGAGAAAGAUGCUCUCCCCGCAGAGUGUGAGCUUCUCAGAACGUCCGCACACCCUCGGUCCACAUCAGACUGUGGACCAGGGACGCUGUGCAGCCCCGCAUUUUCCUUUCCCAAAGGAGUGGGUCGUGCACAGAUCCUAUCCUGAUGCGGCCACUGCAUGUGGGGCGGGGGGUCCCAGAUAGCCCAGCGUUCUGGCUCACUGGUUUCCAGGUGGGUGAGACUGCACCUCAUUCACUGAAGUCCAAGGAGACCCGAAUUUUGAACUGGAUACUGACCCUGGACGGGACAUCUGGGCUCCAGGGGCAAUGAGAGCGGAAUGAGUCUAUUCUGAGCACAGCAAGAGGGUGAGCUGGUACGCUGGGUAGAGUGUGGUGUUCACUAGGCAUUCUGACAUUCGCUGAUUCCGAGUACACUUUAAGGCUGCACUUUCGGCCCCUCUUGUAGCUGGAAGAGACUCAAUGAUGAGUGUACUUCUUUGCCUUCUGUUUUACUGGUUAUACAUGUGUACCAAGAGGGGGGUCUGGGAAUAAGCAUAUUAGAAAUGACAGAAAAGGAAGGAAGGAAGGAAGGAAGGAAGGAAGGAAGGAAGGAAGGAAGGAAGGAAGGAAGGAAGGGAAACAAGGAAGGAAGGAAGGAAGGAAGGAAGAAAGAAAGAAAGAAAGAAAGAAAGAAAGAAAGAAAGAAAGAGAAAGAAAGAAAGAAAAAGAGAAAGAAAGAAAAGAGAAAAAGAAAGAAAGAAAGAGAAAGAAAGAAAGAAGAGAGAAAGAAAAAGAAAGAGAAAGAAACAAAGAAAGAGAAAGAGAAAGAAAGAGAAAGAAACAAAGAAAGAGAAAGAGAAAGAAAGAGAAAGAAAGAAAGAAAGAGAAAGAAACAAAGAAAGAAACUACAAAUAUAGGUUUGAAUUAAACCACUCAAAAAUAAUAGAUAAAAAUAGAUGAUUAGUACAACAAAGGCCUGGAGCAGACAGGAGAGAAUAUUAAGAGAAUAGGGGGCCGAUGUUGGCACAAAAUAGGAGGGCCACCAGGCGGGGGACCUGCUGAAGGCUUGAGGACGGAGAUGCUUUGGUUCACUUAUCUGCUUGUGUUGGGGCCUCCAGCCCAUCACACACCCCCUGGUACCUGCGUGGAGAUUAGAGACCAAUCACACCACCAGCGAAGUGUGUUCUCAGGCAUGUCGUUAAGGCUAGACUUGGUAUCUUCCGUAACGUGUGCUGGGUGCCACUGGUUUGCUCACUCCAGUCCAGCAUGGAAUCCCAGAGCUGGCGACUCUUCCUGGAGGAAAAGGCCCAUGGGAAGGAGCCACUGGCCAGCACUCAGGUGUAAUAGAUUCUAUUAAUUCACACCUGUGACAGAACCAUUUUUAGAGGGUUUUAAGGGGAUUUGCUAUUUUAUUUUACUUUAUUUUAUUUACGUAUUUUUUUUUAAUCACCCAACCCCGGGACUUAAAAUUUUUUAAAAGAUUUAUUUAUUUUUUUUAAAGAGAGAGAGAGAGAGUGGGAGGAGAGGCAAAGGGGGAGGGAGUGGGAGAGAAUCUCAAGCAGACUCGCCGCGGAGCAUGGAGCCCGACUUGGGGCUCGAUCCCACGACCCUGAGAUCAUGACCUGAGCCAAAAUCAAGAGUCAGAUGCUCAGGCGCCUGGGUGGCUCAGUCGUUAAGCGUCUGCCUUUGGCUCAGGUCAUGAUCCCAGGGUCCUGGGAUCGAGUCCCACAUCGGGCUCCCUGCUCGGCGGGGAGCCUGCUUCUCCCUCUCCCGCUCCCCCUGCUUGUGUCCCCUCUCUCGCCGUCUCUCUCUGUCAAAUAAAUAAAAUCUUAAAAAAUAAAAAAAAUAAAAUAAAAUUUAACUGGUGCCCUGGGGCGCCUGGGUGGCUCAGUCGUUAAGCGUCUGCCUUUGGCUCAGGUCAUGAUCCCAGGGUCCUGGGAUCGAGCCCCGCAUCGGGCUCCCUGCUCGGCGGGAAGCCUGCUUCUCCCUCUCCCGCUCCCCCGCUUGUGUUCCUGCUCUCGCUGUCUCUCUCUCUGUGUCAAAUAAAUAAAUAAAAAACCUUUAGAAAAAAAAAAGAGUCAGAUGCUCAACUGACAGAGCCACCACCCAGGUGCCCUGGGACUUGAAAUUUUAAAGCUGUUCUUCCGGGGUGGGAGAGUCUGGGGGCAGGAGGGUGUUAUGAUGACUUAAGACAGUGGCGAUGGCCCAAUAGAUACCAAGGAUCCCAAAGGACUGAGGCAAGGUAGGUGAGUCAGCCAGCCACCACCUCGACCCAGAAAAGCAGCAAUGCCGUUCAGGGCCACCCUGGCUCCUCCUUUGGGCAGCGCCUUGCUUUCCACCAUGAAAGUCAAAGAGAAAAGAUCUUUGCAAUCAGGAAGCCAGAGACAUUAGCAGAGCCCAGAAAGAGGUCGUCAACUUUCUGGAUAUGGGGACUUCAUCCCGUAACACUUGGCAGCCCUGACCAGAAGCUUGACGUGGUUAUUGAAAAAAGAGAAGUGCUUGGCUUUUCAUCGCUGAGACUCUCCAAUCACAUACACCUUGGUCAAAUCUGUCUCCUUCCCCAUCUCUGGAUUUCUCCAUCCCUGGAGCACCUGCUUCUCGUUUGGCCGCACCAGCUUACUUUACUCACAUCCUCUGCUGUGCUGAAAGAAAUGUCUGAGUUCUGGACUGACUGAUGCACUUCCUAUUGUCCUCCUCAAUGUGCUCUCAUGUCUAAUAACCUGAUAGGGUAACGACUACAGACCAUUAGUCCAAACUCUCAAGUCCUCUCUUAAUCUCGUUCAUGCUGGAGUUUCCAAGAAAGCGGGAGGAUCUAGCUGAAGGCAGGGAGCAAGCCCUGCCAUGACAAAUCACCGCAAACUGGGGGGGCUUAAAACAACAGAAAUUUAUUCUCUCCUUGUUCUGGAGGCCAGAAGUCCAAAAUCAAGGUGAUGACAGUCAUGUUCUCUCUCAAGGCUCUAGGGGAGGAUCCUUCCACGUCUCCUGCAACUUCUUGUGGUGGCUGGCCACACUUGGAGGUCCUCGACUUGUAGACACACCACUCCAAUCUCUGUCUCUGUGUCUGCAUCUUCCCAAAGUGUUCUCCUCUCUGUGGGUCUGGGUCCACAUUUCCCUCUUCCUUUUUUUUUUUUUUUUUUUAAGAUUUAUUUGGGAGAGAGAGUGUGCACGGUGGGGAGGAACAAAGGAAGAGGGAGAGAAGCAGACUCCCCACUGAGCACGGAGCCCUACACGGGGCUCGAUCUCAUGACCCUGAGAUCAGAUCUGAGCCAGAACCAAGAGUCGGACACUCAACCGACUGCCCCCCGCAAGUGCCCCCACAUUUCCCUCUUCUGACAAGGACACCAGCCACAAUGACCUCACUUUAACUUGUGUAAUUACAUCUGCAAAGACCCUAUUUCUGAGUAAGGUCACAGGCUGAGAUUCUGGGGGAAGAUGAGUUUGAGGGGAUAGCAGUCAACCCAGAACAACCCAGUGACUAACCCCAGGAAUCAAAGUCUUUCUGUCUGGGAGUCAGGGGCAUGGCCCAGAGUGGCCGCUUAGUACCUUUACCUUGGCCUCUGGUCUGCCGCAGGUGGCCCUCCCAGUUGAGCACUCACUCUGGACCAGGACUUCUAUAGUUUUACGUGCAGUAGCUCAUUACAUUGCCACAAAAAUCCCAGGAGGCGGACUCUCACCAUCCCCGUUUGGCAAAGGACAGUAACAGUGCUGAGAAAUUGAGUGCAUUGUAGACGGACCCCCUCACGGAGGCAUCAGACCACCUCUGUGCAGAGCACUUAGGUCUGGAUGAGGUUUGCUUUUCUCCAUUUAUUUUGUAUUUCUAAAAAACAUCAAACUAUGAAACAUGGAGAAAGAGUAUAUCAAGGCCCAUGUUUUAAAAAAUAAUAUGUUUGAGGGGUGCCUGGGUGGCUCAGUCGUUGAGCGUCUGCCUUCGGCUCAGGUCAUGAUCCCGGGGUUCUGGGAUCGAGUCCCGCGUCGGGCUCCCUGCUCGGUGGGGAGUCUGCUUCUCCCUCUCGUUUUAAAAAAUAAUAUGUUUGAAAAGUGAAUUAACCAAGAUAAUUGACACAGGCAUUGGCCAUGAGGAAACAAAAGCCUGCCUAUGAAAAACUGUGCGCAUCUCUUCAAGUCAGCCUUGUGCAGCUAACUUCAGCCAAGCCCCAGGGUUCGCUACCCGAGCGCUAUGAGUUGGGUCUCCCCCAGGAGUGGUGAGCCCCAAGUCAAAAGGUGCCAGGUCUAAGUCUCCCUGAUUGUGAUAGCAGUCGGUCUGCACCUUUGGGACCAGCCUGGAGGAAGGAACAAUCCUUCUGGCCCAAAGGAACUCCCGCCCAACUGGGCCGUGACAAGACGGACCGGUCACUCUCCUCGGGGAGCUUGUGUUCUGGCGGGGAGACAGGCACGUAAACAAACACAGGAGCGCGUUUCAGGGAGGAAGCCGUGCUGAGUAGACGGCGGCGCAGCAUGAGGGGCCGUGACCUUCGGGUGGGCAGUGUGAGGCCGGGGCCCCGGAGAAGAGUGUCUUUCAGGCGAUGACCAAGUUACUGAGAGCUGAAUCGCGAGAGGGUGAGCAGUUUGUCAGCUGGAGAGGGACUGGAGAAGGGGAAACACUUCAUCCAGCCGCCUGGCCAGCCGGGACCUCGGGGACCCACACGACGGCCCCCUUCUGCUGCACCUGCCCAGCAGCUAUGUCAUUUCAUAGAACAAGUGCAAAUUAAAUACGAAGGUUUAUCUGUGAAGCUCUUGCCCUGAUUGUAAGGUAAAUGUGUGCAAAUAGCUGGACGUAAUCUCGUUAAGGGUUCAGCACUGGGGAGCAAUGCACUCCAUCGAGGAAAGGGAGACACAUGCCCCUUUAGGAACAGCCUCCUCUUCAAUUCACAAAUAAAUAAUGGGAGCUGGGAAGGAAAUUAUUGUCUUUAAAUCAAGGGCCACGUUGGCAUUCUUCCACAGCAGUUACGGUGAGCCCAGACUAUGUCCCUGAACCCUAGGAAAAGCCUGGAUUCCACACCGUGGCUGGAGUAGAGUUCCCAGUGCUGGGGUGCCCGUGGGGUGCUGUUGGUCCUGUAUUGGGGUAGACCUGGGUGGCCAGCCUCAUAGGCCUUCAUUUUUAGCCCCCCCCCCCCGCCACCGCUGGAAAAGGCUGCCUAAUGCGUAGAGCCAUUGGGCAUGCACCAGGGGACACCACGUUGAUGGCUCGCCCAACGUCCAUCCAGUCGCCUCCAGCUCAGUCCUGUAGUAAGACUGUGGUCUGGAGAGGUAAAUUCCCCGCGUGUCGCGCCAUCCUUUGCAGCCGGGAUGUUAGCGGGUCAUUGGACUCCAGUUGUACCUAGAGAACGACUUACAGGAGUCCCCGAGCUGGAGGUCACCCCAGGGACGCGCAGCCGCGUGCACGGGGAGGAGACCUUGCGCCAACGCGCUGGCCGGUGCACCGGGUUUUUUGGGGGGGCUGUAGCAGCUGUGGGCAUCCAGCCCCCCAUUCACAGGGGCCAGAGAGUGGGAGGCAGCAACCACGGGGCUUCUGCUACAAUUAUACGGAGCCGGGGGGUUCCAAGGUUCUCUGUACAUCAGACUCACCUGGAAAAUGUGUUAAAGCCCCGCUUGCCGGGCCUCAGUCCCCAGGGUCUCUCAUUCCGUGGGUCUGAGGUGAGGCCCGAGGCUCUGUCUUUCUGCCGCCUUCCCAGAUGUCGGUGAGGCAGCUGGUCUGGGAACACACUUCGAAAACUCCUCUUUCGAGGUCCGAUUCCUCCUUUCUCCUGGGCGCAGUGUCGAUGGCUGCAUUGUUCCUUUGUAUCAUUUUUUAACCUUCCUGGAGGUUCUGUGCAUCAGGUCAGACCCUUGGUUAAACCCCUUGCGGGUUGCUGGCCUUCUGUACCAAUGCUCUCAACAUUCUUGGAAUUCUCCACCGAAUCCUCCUGUCGCCUCCGUUGGGGUCUUCGGGUCAAUUCUCUGUCCCCGGCUCUAUUGCUUGCAGAAGGCCCAUGACUCAUGCUGACAUAAACCCCAUCCUACCAGAUGUUCUCCAUUUCAGCAUCCUAUCUCAAUAACUCCCUCUUGUGCUGGAACUGCCCCAGACUCCCCCACUUUCUCCCAAAAUAAUCCAAUCGGGAAUGUUCACUGAAGGACAGGGUUAGGGUCUAUUUUGCUCAAAGGCAAACAUGUCUUGAAUUUAGCACAGAAACUGAAGUAGCCCCACAGAAGAAAAAACAAAGUUAUAAGAACGUCUUUUUAUCUACCAAAGGGAAACAAAAGUCAGAUGGCAGGUGCCUGCUUUGUGCCCCGUUCUUUAAGAUCUGAUCCUUUUUCUUUUCUUCUUCUUCUUCUUUUUUUUUGGUAAAGUACCUUAAUGUAAAAUUUAAAAUCAAAACAACCUAAAAGAGCCCUCUUUGAAGGGUAUGAGAAUGGAUAAGAUUGAUUAAAUGGCAUCUUACUAGACGCGUCUAUUUAAAAUUGGUUAAAAGGUAUUAUUUACCCAAUGAACCAUAAGGGCUCAAAAAAAAAAAAAAAAAGAAUCCUAACACAAUAACAGUCCCUCAGGUAAAUGCCCCUUCAGACAGUUUUUUAAAUGUGUGUCAUUUAUUUGAUAAAGCAUAGCAGCCUAUCGAGAGAGGAAUUAUGGUCUGCUGCAUAAAUAGGCAUUUGGACAACUUUAAAAAUGCAUACUCUUUACACCCAAAUGCCGAGGGAAAAUCCCAACAGAAAGUGGUUAUUAUGAGCAAAGAGCAACCACUUUUCAAAACCAAGAGGUGAUCUAGCCCAGUGGUGUCUUUCAAACUUUUCUUCUCCUAGAGCUGCAUUGAUCUUCUCCUUAUUUAUUUAUUUGUUUCGAUGGCCACAAGUCACUUCUGGGUCUGGGUCAAGAGGCUUCUGACCUGCCCUGAGCUCAGGCUUAUGGGUGUCCUCACCGUUGUGUGCCCACCAGAAUCACCAGGGAGCCUACCCAGACCCCACCCCAAAGAGGCCGGGGCACGGUUCUAGAAGCUCCUCAGGUGAUUCCGAUCUGCAGUCAGGGUUGAGAACCCCCAGGCUAGAUAAAGAAGCCAAAGCCCAGAGAGGCCAAGUGACUUGGCCAAGAUCACACAGCAAGCCUGGGGGCGACCCAGGUAUCUGGAUCUUCAUUCAUGCUGCUCCUACACACUCUCCCCUUGCCUUGCAGAGUUGCCUUUUCCCUUUACUUUUAAUACAAUUUCACGCUUCUUUCGUUACAUCUACAUUUAGAGUAUUUAAAUAGUGUAGAGUAGUUAUGCAAUCACAUCAGCAAGCAUUUAGGAAAUGCAACGAGAAAAAAUACACUUCAUUCCCCAAAUACCAGCUCGGUAAGUACUUUUGUAUUAACUGUACUAGAUUGCCUUAGAUCCCAUUUUCAUCUUUAUAUAUCUUCCCUAUUUGUAAAUGUGAGUUUAUAUGUUUGUGUAUUUUAAAAUUUUAUACCCCAGGUACUCUACCUUACUGCAAAUUCUCUAUUGGUUUUAAGUUAAUUUUAAAAAUAAUAGAUGUUUGGGGUACCUGGGUGGCUCAGUCAGUUACGCCUCCAACUUUUUUUAUUUCGGCUCAGGUCCUGAUCUCAGGGUCGCGAGAUGGAGCCCCGCGUGCAGUUCUGCACUGAGUGGGGAGUCUGCUUAAGAGUCUCUCUCUCCAAAAAAAAAAAAAAAAGGAAUCUCUCUCUCCUUCUCCCUCUGCCCCUCCCCCACCCC
Mirounga angustirostris (Northern elephant seal) is the source of this 28294-nucleotide RNA transcript. It is a transcript of the gene named KN motif and ankyrin repeat domains 1, with no coding region annotated. The record is from RefSeq and is a predicted model, not a curated record. The transcript is spliced from 14 exons. Lineage: Eukaryota; Metazoa; Chordata; Mammalia; Carnivora; Phocidae.